UACGUAGGGUGCAGGCGUUAAUCGGAAUUACUGGGCGUAAAGCGUGCGCAGGCGGUUUGCUAAGACAGGCGUGAAAUCCCCGGGCUUAACCUGGGAACUGCGCUUGUUACUGGCAGGCUUGAGUGUGGCAGAGGGGGGUGGAAUUCCACGUGUAGCAGUGAAAUGCGUAGAGAUGUGGAGGAACACCGAUGGCGAAGGCAGCCCCCUGGGCUAACACUGACGCUCAUGCACGAAAGCGUGGGGAGCAAACAGG
Molecule: ribosomal RNA, 253 nt
Filed under: uncultured bacterium
Lineage: Bacteria
Description: partial 16S ribosomal RNA
Rfam family: Bacterial small subunit ribosomal RNA
Source: RNAcentral